This 512-nucleotide ribosomal RNA is filed under the name uncultured bacterium. Its description in RNAcentral is "partial 16S ribosomal RNA". It matches the Rfam family "Bacterial small subunit ribosomal RNA", at positions 28 to 523 of the family's 1533-position model. The record is from RNAcentral.
GACGAACGCUGGCGGCGUGCCUAAUACAUGCAAGUCGAGCGGAACUGGGGGAGCUUGCUCCUUCCAGUUUAGCGGCGGACGGGUGAGUAACACGUGGGCAACCUGCCCUGCAGAUCGGGAUAACUCCGGGAAACCGGUGCUAAUACCGAAUAGUUUGGCGCCUCUCCUGAGGCGCCACGGAAAGACGGUUUCGGCUGUCACUGCAGGAUGGGCCCGCGGCGCAUUAGCUAGUUGGUGGGGUAACGGCCCACCAAGGCGACGAUGCGUAGCCGACCUGGGCGGGUGAUCGGCCACACUGGGACUGAGACACGGCCCAGACUCCUACGGGAGGCAGCAGUAGGGAAUCUUCCGCAAUGGACGCAAGUCUGACGGAGCAACGCCGCGUGAGUGACGAAGGUUUUCGGAUCGUAAAACUCUGUUGUGAGGGAAGAACACGUACCAACUUACUAUUGGUACCUUGACGGUACCUCACCAGAAAGCCACGGCUAACUACGUGCCAGCCGCCGCCGUAA